This 7162-nucleotide long non-coding RNA is filed under the name Sus scrofa (pig). RNAcentral describes it as "lncRNA (ENSSSCG00015018420.1)". Lineage: Eukaryota; Metazoa; Chordata; Mammalia; Artiodactyla; Suidae. The record is from RNAcentral.
UCCGUGCUGGCGAAAAAGGGUUCUGACUUCACAGCCUUCCCCGCCUAAACACACACUCUUAACUCCUUCUUUCCCAGAUUCUGAAAUAGUUACGCCUCCGGUUUGGGCGAAAUCUUUUCUUCCAUUUGUGCCAGUUCGAUUAUGCAAAUGUCAUUCAUGGUCAACCCACGAGAUAUUUUGGCUGUUUUUACAGACGUAUGUUGGUUGCUGUAAUUUUCUUCUUGUGUCUCCUAUUUUAUGAGCCUACCACACAUUUUCAGACGUUCAGAGGAACACAUUUAAGAAACAGAACUUUCCGUAGGAUGGGAACAUGAAGGUGGGCCGUGAGUCUUGCCUUGGAGUGCCCUCCAGCCACGUCGGCUGCUGCCUCGUCCUGCUGCACGGAGCAGCCCUCACCUUUUGCCGGGGCUCUUUCACUCUUCCUCGUGUGCGACCCAACCCUCGCAGGUCCUGCGUCCUUCUUACUGAGCUGCUCCCCCAGUUGACCAUCCACGCUUGCUUCCCAAGGAAAGACGAAGGCAUCAUCGGUACCUCGUGUGUCUGAGACACGCCUUUCUCCUCCGCGAUUCCUUUUGCUUAGCGAUGAAACGCUGAUGGAGCACCGGGUCAAACCACAAACACGAACCUCCUAGUUUGUUCCUAGUUUGCUGAGUGUAACAGUCCAGCUUAAGAGAGCCUCCACACUUUGAAGGUGUUUCUGCAUUUUCCUUCUAGGCUGCACUCUUCGGAGGAAGCUGGAUGUCAUUCUUAUUCACAUUAUCUUGGAGUGAACACGCGAGCUUUUUCCCUCUCUCCCUGCUACUUUAAUUCCUAGUGUUUGGAGGUAACAGCAGUGCCCCCUCAGUGUAAGUAAUUUUAAACACAUUCAUCUCCAUAAGUUUAAUCUUGAAAUCCUUAUGUUUCCUUUUAAAAUUUUUUCUCGUUGAUUUCAUUGAUGACGUCCAUCGCCUCUGUUUUCUUUCUUUAUCUGUUGUUGGUUAGAGUUUGUAGAGUAAUCAAAUCUUAAAAGUAGGUUCAACAGUAACGUGCUAUUUCGUUAAUGUUUUGUUUUCUGUUGGGAGUUCUCCUUGAUGUUGUCUCCCAGCUUGUCUAUUUAUUUCUUUAAAUUCCUGCCAACGUAUUUUUUAUUACUCCAUGAAUUUUAUUACAUUUAUAGUUUAACGACAAUCAUCACAUCCAAUUUUAUAGCAUUUCCAUCCCAAACCUUCAGUGCACCCCCCAUCCCUCCAACCUGUCUCUUUUGGAAACCAUAAGUUUUUCGAAGUCAGUGAGUCAGUAUCUGUUCUACAAAGAAGUUCAUUGUGUCCUUUCUUCAGAUUUCACACGUCAGUGAUAGCAUAUGAUAUCGGUGUCUCACCAUCUAACUUCACUUAGCAUAAUCUCUAGGUCCACCUAUGUUGCUGCAAAUGCCAUCAUUUCUUUCCUUUUAAGGGCUGAGUAAUAUUCCAUUGUGUAUAUGUACCACAUCAAGAGAUCCACUCCUCUGUCGAUGGACAUUGAGGUUGUUUCCAUGUCUUGGCCAUUGAAAAUAGUGCUGCCAUGAACAUCGGAGUACAUGUGUCUUUGCGAGUCAUGGUUUUCUCUGGAUAGAUGCCCAGGAGUGGGAUUGCUGGGUCAAAUGGCAGUUCUCUUUUUAGUUUUCUGAGGAAUCUCCAUACUGUUUUCCACAGUGGUGGCACACAUUUACAAUCCCACCAACAGUGUAAGAGGGUUUCCUUUUCUCCACACCCUCUCCAGCACUGAUUGUUUGUAGACUUUGUGAUGAUGGCCAUUCUGGCUGGUGUAAGGUGGUACCUCUGAGUGGUUUUGAUUUGCAUUUCUCUGGUAAUGAGUGAUGUUGAACAUCUUUUCAUGUGUUUUUGGCCGUCUCUGUGUCUUCUUUGGAGAAUCGUCUGUUUAGGUCUUCUGCCUGCCAACAUAUUUUUAACCUCCAAGAGUGGUUGUUUUUUCUUCUCCAAAUGUUGCCUGUUUGAGUUCUGAGAGUAUCGUAGGUUUUUGAGAUGUUCUUCUGCAUUAACUUUUUACUCUGAGUUUUAUAACUUUCUCAUUUUUAUUUGGAUCUCUCUUUCUUGUUGUAAGUUUUCCUACACUAUCUGGGGACCCUGAUGAGAUAACAUGAAGUUAGACAACAAAGCACAUUCCAGCCCGUAGUUGAAAUGUGUGCAUUUCCUACUUCAGGACUUUAAAAGUUUAUUUGGAAGCUACAAAUUCACACACUCUAAGAAUUAACCAGAAUACCCAUUUUGUUGUCUGUUUAAGAACAAGCUGUCCUGCAUCGCCUGGCAUCCUGGAGUUUGAUUGUAUUGUGGCAGGCAGGUCGUGAGGCUGUCUCCACGCAACUUCAAUACAUUUGGCUACAAUAUAAAUCACCUGUUGAAUUAGCUGUUCCUUUACCCACCAACAUCAAAUAAUUAUUUUUAGUGAAGUUAUUUAUUUUAAGGAAAUAAUACCAGAAGCCUUCUUUUGGAAAUGAAUUUUCUAGGCUAUUCAGAUGGGAAAGGGGAGUGUGAACAAGUGUAGGAAGAAGUUUCUGUUACAUACUCGUAAAUAUUUAAUUUUCAGCAAGGGCUGAGUUUUAAACUUGUGCCUAGGCAUUGGGCUAAACACACUACAGUUAUUAAAAUGUAUCAUUUUUCCAGCCUCCAUAAUGUUCUAGUUUUACAGAUGAGAAAAUAGGUUUAUGGAAGAUAAAUAAUUUUCGAGAAUCCAUACAUCCAGUUAAGUAGGAAAAUAAGGAUUUUAAUAUGUGUUUUUAUAUUGGUAGGAUAUUUCAUUUUAAAAAAUGUAUUGGCGUAUAGUUGACUUACAGUGUUGUAUUAGUUCCAGGUGUACAGCAAAGUGAGUCAGUUAUGUAUAUACAUAUAUCCAUUCUUUUUCCCAUACAGGUUAUUACAGACUGUCGAGUGGAUCUCACUGUGCUGUGCAGCAGGUUCUUGUUAGUGAGCUGAUUACACAGGAGUGUGUAUAUGUUAUUACCAUCCUCCUAAUCCCCCCUGUCCCCCCUGUGAUGCCAUACGCUUGAUUUUGAAAUGUAUGAGUUUUGUUUCCAUUAUAUAAAAUUCUUCUGUAUCUGUUUUUAAGAUUUCAAUGCAAAUCUUACCUCUUUAAGAGCUUCUGCCUCUCUAUAGCAAACUCCAUAUAAUUAUUCAUAGUUUCAAAAACUUUCCAAAUCCUCAUAGUUAUCAUUAGAAGCAUAAAUUAUCAUCAUCAUAAUUAUUAUUUUAUUAUUAAAUAAUUAUUAAUAAAGUCUGUAAAAUUAAAUUUAUGUAUAGAAGGGAAAUUUCAUAAAUUAUACUUUGUUAAAAGAAAACCUUCAUCUUUUAAUGAGAUACUUUACCAGAUAUCCAAUUUAUGUAUUCUAUUCUUAGAGUAAAUACUUAUUUCCAAUAUUUUUUCUUACCUAAAUUUGUUAGCAAUUUUAAGAAUUGCUAUCUGGCAAAUAGUUACAGAAGAGUGAAGUCAGAAACUUGUAGGUUGGAAGUAGCAAGUCAGUUGAUUUUUUUUGGAUCUCAUCUUAGUUUCCACUUUAAAAAAACAUUCUAUUUUUAUUAUAAGACAAUGAUUCCAACCAGUAAGCUAUUCUCAAAGGAAAGUUAGCCAUGCUUAGAAAAGCAGGGUCAGAAUCAGAGUUGGAGUUGCUGUCAGGUGAAUACCUUUUCUGAGACUGACAGUUUCCAGUGAGGUGACGGAUAAUUUUAAAAAGCACUGGAAAAAAAAUAAGAAGUCUUACCAGUUCCCCUAGUUUUAGUAAUAAUACAUUUAUUAAAAUGCUUCUUUUUAAUAAAAAAAGCUAUGACGUUUCCGUUGCGUUGGCCUUCCCUUGUUUUCCAUGGAGACCCAUGGGUACAAUCCCAAGAGUUCCAGCUGCCUCAGCUGUACCCAGUUCUCUGCUUAGUUCCCACCAGACAUAGAAGCUGGAGAAAUGGGUGGAAGUGUCUGUCUCUGUUCUUAGUAGUCUCUCAUGAAAUUGUUGCAGGAAUUAAACAAGACAUAGUUUAAUGAUAAUUCAGUCAGUAAAGCUGCUCCCAUGCUCAGUGGUAUAAAGUAGAGAAUGUGGGUUGAGAGAGACACACACAGAGUUCCCAGGAGCCAGAGACCCCACUCCACGGCUACCGGGAGGCACUGCAGUGUGGGAGCCCUUUGUAGCAGGUUCAGGCUGGGAAAAAGUAUAGAAUGAGUAUCCGUGUUUUCUUAGUGCCUUUGACAGCAUGAUCUGUUUUACAUCUGUUGCCCUAAACCCUUCACCGAACCCUUCUUGACAUGAUGGGAAACUGAUUCCUCGGGCUUUGCUCCUGAAUUUUACUCUCAGAAGGAUCUGGGGAGUGGAGUUAGGGAUGCUGACGGUGGGUUUGAAAUCUGCUAAGAGGGCAGUAGAUCCUCAGGGUUCUUAUCACACACUCAGAGGAGGGUAAGCUUGGGAGGUGGUGGCCGUGCGAACGCGCCGACUGUGUGAUCAUUUCUCAGGAAGACAGAGGUUAAAGCACUUCGUACAUCUCUGAAAAUGCACCCGUGCACCUCAGCGUGUGUGCACUUUUAUCAGUCUUGGAGGAAACCCGGAGAUGCCGAAACCCGGAAGGUGACGCACCACCUAGGGCAGCCCAGACCACCUCGCUGCUUCCGCCGGCAGCCCCUGCCCCCGAGCCGGGCGCACCUGGUCCCCGCACCCCAGCCCUUCCGGGCUCCCAGCUGCGGCCGCGUCAGUGUGGCCCUGAGACCGACUCUGACUGCAGACCCUCCCACGGUCCUGCCUCUGGCGUCCUCUGGGCCCCGUCGAGGGGACGCUUCUCUCGGUUGGGGUGACGCGUAAGCCGCACAGAGCAGCAGGGUGCAGCCGCGGGGCGCCAGCUCUGCAGCAGGAGAGCGCUCGCCCGGGGGGGUCCAGAGGGAGCCUACAAAGAGCAGGCGUCGCUGGGAUGUCCCAGCCCUCGAAGAGCCAACUCUCCCGUGUAAUUUCUCAGGAUGCCUCACCAGACAAAGGCAUUCGCUUCAGAGAGGGAAGCAGGAGGUUCGACCUGGAGAGGUCAAAGGAUGCGUCCUUGGGGGUGGAAGGGGGUCCCCAGAUGAGGCCUUGCAGCCAGCCUGAGGCCCGCGGGGGGAUUCGCACAGCAGAACUGCAGGAGAAAAGGUUAGCUGUGCGUCCGCGGGUGGAGGGUUUCUUAUGGAGAGUCUGCAGAUAAGUUAGGGAUAGACCCUUUAUAGAAAACGAAGCAAUAAGCUUACCGGACCGAUAUCCCCAAAGAAUGCUUAACUCUGGGGAACCAAAGAAGUUGUUAAGAAAAGUAAAGCAAUUAUAAUAUUGUACACAUGGUUAGAGUCAUAUUUAUAAAAACAUGGACGGAACCCCUGGGCCUGUGGAGGCAUCCUUUUAAGGGCUUCUUCCGCGCCUUGGGAAGCCGUCGGAGCAUUGCUUUUCCUGUAGAGGAAGGAAUGGCUCUAAAGAGCAAGGCCAAGAGACCGCAUUUACCUGCAUGCCAAGAAAAUUAUUUUGCAGAAUGUGCUCAGCCCAGCCAAUGAAAGAACACUGAUGCCAGUUGAACUCACUGCUCUGCCCAAUCUGUUACAUUGUGUGUGUGUGUGGGUAUGUGUGAGUAGGAAAAAGCUGUUACUGCCAAUAUCGCUGUGAAAACAUCCAAAUAGCGAAUAACUUGUUCUUUUAAAUCUGAGGGAUGAGUAAUUUGGGAAUAACACACUGUAGCAGUUACUGCUCUCCAAAGACCAGCAACACUGUUUGCCACUGAAUUUUCACUCUCCCCCCACCCCUUAGUCAUUUAUCCAAGACGUAGCUGUCUCUUUUUAUGCUGAUGCUAAUAAUAGUCUCAGUCUGUCCAGACAACAUGCUGGCUCCUCGGAGGCCUCUCCCCGUCCUGGGUGAGCGCUUUGACCCACACCAGCCUCGGUCCCGCCAGGUCCUGCCGUCGCUUGGACACCUCUUCCUAGUGCUCUGCCUUCACCUGUUUUAGACACAGAAGAACAAUAAGCUACUCUUUUGAUUAAAACCCUGCAGUGAAUCACCGCCUCACUCAGAGUCAGCCCAGUGCCUUCACAGUAACCCACUGUGAUCUGUCCCCAAACGCAAGACACUGUCCCCCCCCACACCGAGCCUCUUCCCCACCUCCCUGUCUCGCUUCCCCGUCGGGCAGGCUCCACCUUCAGGGUUUACUCUGAUGAUCGCUCUCUGCUUGACUUGUGUUUUCCUCCCCGAUGCUUCGUUCCCUGAUCAACUCCAUGCUCCUCCUAGAGCCUCUGAUCUGACCUGGGAGCAUCCCCAGAUCAGCGGUGCUCGUGUGAACAAACAGCGGGGCUGUGGACGGUGGGAGGACCAGGGUCUCAGUGGGAGACUGUGCUUCAGUGCACGUGUUCUCAUUGUUAUUUUUUUAAUUUUAUUUAUUUACCUAUUUUUUUAUUUUAGGGGAUUUUUACUUUUUCCAUUAUAGCUGGUUUACAGUGUUCUGUCAAUUUUCAACUGUACCGCAAGGGGACCCCGUCACACACACACACAUACGUUCUUUUUCUCACUUUAUCCUCCAUCGUGUUCCAUCACAAGUGACUGGAUAUAGUUCCCAGUGCUCUGCUGCAGGAUGUUCUCAUUUUUAAAUUUUCCUGUAUAGACAGUCAACUUCCCGAUCCCACUCUGCUCCUUUUCUGUAUUUCGCACACUUUGCUGCUCAUGGUCUUUCUGAAUUUCCAUGCUCCAGGUAGAGGUCAAAACUAAAAGGUUUUCAGCAUGGCUCAGAUGAAAUUGUUUGGUUAAGCCCCAGUUUCCGGGGGGCAGAAAUCAACGUGUUCACUGAAACCAAAGCUCCCCAAUAUCAGGGCAACACCACCAUGCGGUAAGGUCAGCUUAUCCUUUCCCAGUCCCGACAUGCCUUGGAGAAUGAUGGCCUGACACAGAGGCUAUUAUCUUUCCUUUAGGGAAGAUUUGCACAGAAACACUAAAAUAGAAUGCAGCGGACCAAAGAAGCCAACACACCUACUGCCCCAAGCAGAAUAAAUUAUAAAACUCCUGUUUUAUAGCUGUUUGAGAGCAUGAGAAGUGAGAAAUAGACAUACUGAAAUUUCACAGACAGAAAAAAUAUUUCUAGGUAAUCUGAUCACUUCUGGCCAUUUUCUUCCACGGGGGCAUAGCUGAUUCUGGCUAAGAGUUAAUGAGGAGGCUUAGCCU